UUGUUCAUUAGGGAUCUUUUGACAAUGUAUAUAGAUAGUGUACUAAUAGACUUAGUAAAUAUUUUUUAGGAAAUUCUAGGAACUUUGAAAUUGAUCAACAAACCAUUCUUGGAGUUCUAACUGCGUUCACACUGGCACAACAUCAGAUACUCCAAACGUUGGAGCUACUAAUGAAAGAUAAUAAGCGUCUUCCACAAACCCUGUACAGUACUAGGCAUAUAAUUAGGUAGCUUGCGUACUCUCGCAUGAUACACGAGUUUGAUCUUGUGUGUCGACAAAGCACACGCAUGGACAAACGAAUAUUUGCAAUUCUAUGCCAUUUACUUAGGACUGUAGCUGGUCUUUCGUUGACAAAGAUUGUUGAUGUUGAGGAAAUGGUUGUGAUGUUCUUGCAAGUCCUUACCCAUGACGUGAAGAAUCACAUAAUUCAACGAGAAUUUGUACGGUCGGGUGAGACAGUAUCUCGACAUUUUAACCUCGUCUUAUUGGCUAUGUGCUACGACUCCACUACGAGUUGAUAAAGAAACCUAUACCGAUAACAAACUACAAUGAUUAAGUUGGAAGUGCUUCGAGGUGGGCAUAGUACAAGUGGUUUGUAUGUGACCUAUCAGUAUCUGCCACUAAUGUAAGCGUGUUUGUUUAAACCUACAAAAUUACCUUGGGGUGUUGGACGGGACAUACAUAAAGGUCAACGUGCCUACAACUAAUCGCCCUACAUUCAGAACGUGUAAGGGAAAAAUUGCCACAAAUGUACUGAGCGUUUGCAACACGAAAGGGGAUUUCGUAUACGUUCUCCCCGAUUGGGAAAGAUCUGCAGUCGACUCGUGGAUUCUACAGAAUGCCCUUGCACGAUAAAACAGACUCCAAGUGCCAAAUGGUAUUCACAAUUUUUCAUCAAACCACGUCGUUUUGUACUUACAUAUUCAAAGCACAUAAAACAUUGAUUUUUGUAACAAGAUAUUAUUAUAUGUGCAAUGUGGGUUAUCCAAACUUUGAGGGAUUUCUCAUCCUAUACAGAGGCCAACAGCGUACCACUUGCAAGAGUGGCGUGGUGCUUGAAAUGCCCAACCAAUGCAAAGGAGUACUUCAACAUGAAGCACUCUUCGACAAGAAAUGUGAUUGAGUGUGCCUUUGGUGUUCUGAAGGGUUGUUCGACAAUACUUCAUGGAAAGUCGUACUAUCCCCUCCAAGUCCAGUGUCGCAUCAUCCUAGCAUGUUGCUUGUUGCACAAUUUUGUAAACACAGAAAAGACAAAUUGUGACGACAUUGACGACGUGAACGAGGGCGACUCCGCGUACGCCACGACCAUUGUUGCAUAAGACAUUCAGUGCAUUGAGAUCACAAACGAGUGGUCUCAGUGGCACGAUGAAUUAGCUGAAGCGAUGUUUCACAAAGUGACAGUUGCGUAAUGCUUAGUAUGACAACCUCAUCUCGUGCCCCGAAGCAUGUAUGGACUAAGAAGGAGGAGGACACUCUUAUAGAGUGUUCAGUGGAGUUGAUGUCCACUAGAGAAUGAAAAUCUGACAAUGGUACAUUCCAGCUAGGUUACCUUGGCCUAACUGGUACGCAUGAUGGCUAAAAAAUUCCUGGAUGUCGUGUGUCCACGCAACCACUAUAAUCGACUGCAGAAUAAAGACACUUAAGAGGACAUUCCAGGCCAUCGCAGAAAUGCAGGGGCCAGCGUGCAAUGCGUUCGGCUGAAACAAUGACACUAAAUGCAUAAUUACGGCGAAGAAAGUAUUUGAUAACUAGGUUAGGUCGCAUCCUGCAGUGACUGGACUCCUUAAUAAACUCUUUUCGUAUUACGACGAACUUGCAUAUAUGUUCGAACGCGAUAGGGUGAGGGGUCGUUUCGCUGAGACAUUCGCCGACGUCAGGUCUAACAAGCCUGUCGGGUAUGAGGGAUUUGACAUGCCGAAUGGGAACGAGGAGUUCUCAUCAGUGUACAACUAAGGGAUUGACAUGUCCAAGAGGAUGUACGCGCAUCAUGACCUUCUCACACGUCAGAGAGUAGGAUUGGAUUGAGUGGAUCAAAGAGGAAGAGGGGAAGCCAGCGAGAGGGCGAGCUUGAAGUUAUACAUAUGACCCUCGAGAGUACGAAUGAUCAACUCAGGACGAUUGCAAGUGGCCUGCACGCGCCUUUGCCAAUGAUAACCAUGUGUGCGAAGAAUUCUUACACUAUUGCGUGAGAUGCCGGAACUAAUCAGCUUGGAUAGGGCGUUGUUGCAAAGGCACCUGUUGUCUCGUAUGGACGACAUGUAGGGUUUUGUACAGAUGCCUGAUCAUGAGAGGGAGACCUUUUACACAGUUUUCCUACGAGACAUCUUCAGAUAGUUUAUGUCCUUACUUCACUGACUUGC
Cucumis melo (muskmelon) is the source of this 2360-nucleotide long non-coding RNA. RefSeq lists it as uncharacterized. Lineage: Eukaryota; Viridiplantae; Streptophyta; Magnoliopsida; Cucurbitales; Cucurbitaceae. The transcript has 3 exons. The record is from RefSeq and is a predicted model, not a curated record.